AUGGUCACAUCACAUUGAAACACCAGUUCCUGCAUGAUCACCAAAGUUAAACAAUGUUGAGCCUAAUCAAUACCUCGAUGAGUGACUGCUUGGAAAUACCAGGUGCUGUAAG
This is a non-coding RNA of Acanthosepion pharaonis, 112 nucleotides long. The record is from the annotation of a GenBank genome assembly. NCBI's taxonomy places the organism in Eukaryota, Metazoa, Mollusca, Cephalopoda, Sepiida, Sepiidae.